UACGUAGGGUGCGAGCGUUAAUCGGAAUAAUUGGGCGUAAAGGGUGUGUAGGCGGUUCAUCAAGACGGAUGUGAAAUCCCCGGGCUUAACCUGGGCAUGGCAUACGUGACUGGUGGACUAGAAUAUAACAGAGGGAGGUGGAAUUCCACAUGUAGCAGUGAAAUGCGUAGAUAUGUGGAGGAACAUCGAUGGCGAAGGCAGCCUCCUGGGUUGAUAUUGACGCUGAGGCACGAAAGCGUGGGGGAGCAAACAGGG
RNAcentral lists this ribosomal RNA (255 nucleotides) under uncultured bacterium. Its description in RNAcentral is "partial 16S ribosomal RNA". It matches the Rfam family "Bacterial small subunit ribosomal RNA", at positions 524 to 777 of the family's 1533-position model. The record is from RNAcentral.